Molecule: long non-coding RNA, 220 nt
Filed under: Capsicum annuum
Lineage: Eukaryota; Viridiplantae; Streptophyta; Magnoliopsida; Solanales; Solanaceae
Description: long non-coding RNA (CANN_LNC013227)
Source: RNAcentral
AUAUCACGACAACAAACAGUUACUAUGCAGUUUCGGUAAACCCUUCUAGCUAUAAUAGAUUCCCCAACCGAUGUGGACACUUCAAAUGGCUUAACUAACAGUUCGGGUAUUCUUUCAAACUUUCCAGCAAUCAAUGGAGUAACAUAAGAUAAUGUAGAACCGGGAUCAAUUAAGGCAUAUAAAUCGAAUGAAAAGAUAGACAAUGUAUCCGUAACCACAU